CCAAGGUAAUGAUUAAUAGGGAUAGUUGGGGGUAUUCAUAUUUAAUUGUCAGAGGUGAAAUUCUUGGAUUUAUGAAAGAUGAACUUAUGCGAAAGCAUUUACCAAGGAUGUUUUCAUUAAUCAAGAACGAAAGUUAGGGGAUCGAAGAGGAUUAGAUACCCUCGUAGUCUUAACCAUAAACUAUGCCGACUCGGGAUUGGAGGGCGUAUAUUAAUGAGCCUUUCAGCACCGUAUGAGAAAUCAAAGUCUUUGGGUUCCGGGGGGAGUAUGGUCGCAAGGCUGAAACUUAAAGGAAUUGACGGAAGGGCACCACCAGGAGUGGAGCCUGCGGCUUAAUUUGACUCAACACGGGGAAACUCACCAGGUCCGGACAUAGUAAGGAUUGACAGAUUGACAGCUCU
Molecule: ribosomal RNA, 401 nt
Filed under: uncultured marine eukaryote
Lineage: Eukaryota
Description: SSU rRNA
Rfam family: Eukaryotic small subunit ribosomal RNA
Source: RNAcentral